GGCCUUGUAUUCAUGAGGUGAUGUUAGAAUGCAAUUCUAAAGGGGUGGUUAAGUGUACCACUAAGGCCU
This 69-nucleotide transfer RNA is filed under the name Epicalotermes aethiopicus. RNAcentral's name for it is "tRNA-Cys". The record is from RNAcentral. Lineage: Eukaryota; Metazoa; Arthropoda; Insecta; Blattodea; Kalotermitidae.